Non-coding RNA from Cladorrhinum sp. PSN332, 93 nucleotides. Lineage: Eukaryota; Fungi; Ascomycota; Sordariomycetes; Sordariales; Podosporaceae. The record is from the annotation of a GenBank genome assembly.
GCCCGGCUAGCUCAAUCGGUAGAGCGUGAGACUCUUAAGGAUCAAGAUUCUCCGUAAAUCUCAAGGUUGUGGGUUCGACCCCCACGUCGGGCU